AAGAGAACGAGAUUGCUUGUAAGAGAUAGGGUUCUCAUUUCAGUAUUGAGUUAGUUUAACUUCUGGUCUUUCCUUUUUCUUUUUUCCUUUUUAUCUAUUUGGAGAAGCUUGCAGUCCUUCUAGUUGAUCGAACUCUUCUCAACAUAGAACAGAUCUUGCCUGAAAAAGAUGUGUUUUUAAGUGUACUUGGAUUGACCAAUGACUGAUCUUGCAACAAGUGAAGAUACAAUUGAAAUUCAACCACUUGUGGUGUCUGGUAUGGCUAAUGCCAGAUAAGAUUCUUUGACAUGUAAAGAUAGAUGUCAUAUUGUUGUCAAAAAUCAAAAUAGAUUGAUGAUGUUGUAAUGUAUCUGCUUACCUCAUGUUUUUUUUUGUUUAUUGAGAACGAUGUGUAGUUAUGUUUGUAGACAAACUUGGAAGUUGCAAAGUAAUUUUUUUGGUCAUCAAUGCAUCUGAACUUUGGAAGUUUGCAAAGUACUUACUUUUAUUGAA
Long non-coding RNA from Medicago truncatula (barrel medic), 492 nucleotides. RefSeq lists it as uncharacterized. The record is from RefSeq and is a predicted model, not a curated record. The transcript has 2 exons. Lineage: Eukaryota; Viridiplantae; Streptophyta; Magnoliopsida; Fabales; Fabaceae.